This 241-nucleotide ribosomal RNA is filed under the name uncultured bacterium. RNAcentral's name for it is "partial 16S ribosomal RNA". It matches the Rfam family "Bacterial small subunit ribosomal RNA", at positions 88 to 334 of the family's 1533-position model. The record is from RNAcentral.
CUGACAAGCGGCGGACGGGUGAGCAAUGUUUGGGAAUCUGCCUAUUAGUGGGGGACAACCCGGGGAAACUCGGGCUAAUACCGCAUGAUACCGAGAGGUCAAAGGGGGCUCGCAAGGGCUCUCGCCAUAGGAGGGGUCCGCGUCCGAUUAGCUAGUUGGUAGGGUAAUGGCCUACCAAGGCGACGAUCGGUAGCCGGCCUGAGAGGGUGAUCGGCCACACUGGAACUGAGACACGGUCCAG